ACUAUCAUUAACUGAAUCCAUAGGUUAAUGAGGCGAACCGGGGGAACUGAAACAUCUAAGUACCCCGAGGAAAAGAAAUCAACCGAGAUUCCCCCAGUAGCGGCGAGCGAACGGGGAGGAGCCCAGAGCCUGAAUCAGCAUGUGUGUUAGUGGAAGCGUCUGGAAAGGCGCGCGAUACAGGGUGACAGCCCCGUACACAAAAGCGCAUGUGCUGUGAGCUCGAUGAGUAGGGCGGGACACGUGGUAUCCUGUCUGAAUAUGGGGGGACCAUCCUCCAAGGCUAAAUACUCCUGACUGACCGAUAGUGAACCAGUACCGUGAGGGAAAGGCGAAAAGAACCCCGGCGAGGGGAGUGAAAAAGAACCUGAAACCGUGUACGUACAAGCAGUGGGAGCACCCUUUGGGGUGUGACUGCGUACCUUUUGUAUAAUGGGUCAGCGACUUAUAUUCUGUAGCAAGGUUAACCGUAUAGGGGAGCCGGAGGGAAACCGAGUCUUAACCGGGCGUUAAGUUGCAGGGUAUAGACCCGAAACCCGGUGAUCUAGCCAUGGGCAGGUUGAAGGUUGGGUAACACUAACUGGAGGACCGAACCGACUAAUGUUGAAAAAUUAGCGGAUGACCUGUGGCUGGGGGUGAAAGGCCAAUCAAACCGGGAGAUAGCUGGUUCUCCCCGAAAGCUAUUUAGGUAGCGCCUCGUGAAUUCAUCUCCGGGGGUAGAGCACUGUUUCGGCUAGGGGGCCAUCCCGGCUUACCAACCCGAUGCAAACUGCGAAUACCGGAGAAUGUUAUCACGGGAGACACACGGCGGGUGCUAACGUCCGUCGUGAAGAGGGAAACAACCCAGACCGCCAGCUAAGGUCCCAAAGUCAUGGUUAAGUGGGAAACGAUGUGGGAAGGCCCAGACAGCCAGGAUGUUGGCUUAGAAGCAGCCAUCAUUUAAAGAAAGCGUAAUAGCUCACUGGUCGAGUCGGCCUGCGCGGAAGAUGUAACGGGGCUAAACCAU
RNAcentral lists this ribosomal RNA (1003 nucleotides) under Salmonella enterica subsp. enterica serovar Panama. RNAcentral's name for it is "partial 23S ribosomal RNA". It matches the Rfam family "Bacterial large subunit ribosomal RNA", at positions 147 to 1190 of the family's 2925-position model. The record is from RNAcentral. Lineage: Bacteria; Pseudomonadati; Pseudomonadota; Gammaproteobacteria; Enterobacterales; Enterobacteriaceae.